GCUAUGGAAAUGGUAAUAAUUUUUGCUUAUUCUUUUCCUUCCUCUUGCCUUAACCUUGGCAGGGGGUGGGGGCCGUGACUGGCAUCCAGGACAAACAAUAGACAAUGAUAAAGAAUGUUUGUAAAAAUAAAGAACUCAAGGCAGGUGGCAAAAGUCUCUGGGGUACAGAGGGGAGCAUAGGACAGAAGGGUGAGAACCAUGAGUAAAGGCAAUAUAUACGUCAAGUGAGAGGGGUCCCUCUUUCUUGACCCUUUUGUGGAGCAGUGGGUGUCAGCACUCAUUUUAUUGCAGGAGGUGGGGAGGGGCUAUACUAUGCAGCUUUUUCAUUGAUGUGUUUUCUUUUGGAGGGGCCUGGACAGUAUUAAGGCAAUGAAGAGGGUUAGAUUCCAGAAGAAUGGACACGGAAUUGUAAACAGGAGGCGGGAGGCUCGCUGAAGAUCAGAUCAGGAGACAGGAGUCUGGGAGGGUGAUUCCACAGCCUGGAGAAGAACCCUGGAUUAAGUGCUGCGCCUGCAGAGAGAGGCGUCAAUGGCUGGACCCCUCCCAGCCCUGAACUUAACGCAGUCUUCCAGAUACGGCUU
Long non-coding RNA from Equus caballus (horse), 581 nucleotides. RefSeq lists it as uncharacterized. The record is from RefSeq and is a predicted model, not a curated record. NCBI's taxonomy places the organism in Eukaryota, Metazoa, Chordata, Mammalia, Perissodactyla, Equidae.